UCCUUGGGUGGCAUGAAAGGCGCUUUUAAAUAAAAUGCAUUAUUAUUAUUAUUAUAUUUUAGCCCAUGCCAUUGGAUGCACAAAACUCAAAUAUCAGCUUCUCAACGUCAGAUCUCAACUUAACUUGUGGAGGCUUGUCGAAAGCUUAUGCUGAAGGGAUCCACAUGCCAUUAUCCCAAAUGAGUCAUAGCAGCAACAGUGUAAUGUUGCGGGGGAAAUUAUCCAAUGCAUUCUCCAGUUUUAUUGUUCAAGUGUAACUUAAUCUGGAGAAAAUUAAAGUGUGCCAAAUAGCAAGCUAAGGCCCAGAGAUGAGCAUCAAGGUGAUGGAUUCAAUAACCAUCGGUGCUCCGUGGCGGUUCUGGGGGAAGGGGGCAACGGGGGCCAGUGCCCCUGUAGCACUGAUUCUGCCCCCCCCCCCCCCCCCCGUGAACCCCCCGCCCGGCUUAGUCGGACCCUUUAGUGCGCUGCACCACUUAAAAAAUGAGCGGGAAAAUGAGAAGCAGUCCGCAGAGAAGGAAAUUACCACGAGACGAGUGCUAUUUUCGACACACCAUUUAUAUUUUCGAUGUAGAAUCACAAAACAAAACAAGCCCUCAACAGUAGCAUUAUUAAUUCAAAUUCCUCUUCACUUAAACAUUUAACAUUAAAAAUGAAAAGAAAAACGGACAUUACAUCAUAUUUCUAUAUGAAAAAGAAACUAAUUGAUCCAGACACAGAGAGAGUCAGAUGAUAAUGGUGGUGAAAGUUCUGAAGAAGAGGAAGUUGAAAGCACCAGAGAGGGAGAGUCAGAGGACAUGGGAUUCAUUUAUAUUCAGAGUGAGGACACAGAGCAGGAAAGGGAUACAAAUGAAGAUGAGAAUGAGAAGACGAGACUACAAUAAAAGUGGAGUGUGACACACAGACAGAGGAUAUUUGCGCUUCAACAAGCACUGGACCAUCAGACGUCAGUUGAUGUAAAGAGGACCGGCUAAUGCAGCCAGACCUAAAACAGUUUCCCAGGACCCUGAUGGGGGACAGGAGAAGGAGCUUCAAGGCAGGCUGGUACCAUAUCAUCCCCUGGAUUGAAUAUUCUCAACAGAUGGACAUGGCGUAUUGUUACGCUUGCAGACAUUUUUAGCCCUCCUAAUACUGUUUUUUUCUCAUCACUGUAAUGUUAUGACUACAAUGCUUUCAAAGUUUGUUGAAAUAAAAAGUCAAAUAAGA
Molecule: long non-coding RNA, 1203 nt
Organism: Hippocampus zosterae (dwarf seahorse)
Lineage: Eukaryota; Metazoa; Chordata; Actinopteri; Syngnathiformes; Syngnathidae
Exons: 2
Source: RefSeq, a predicted model, not a curated record